RNAcentral lists this ribosomal RNA (459 nucleotides) under uncultured bacterium. RNAcentral describes it as "bacterial SSU rRNA". It matches the Rfam family "Bacterial small subunit ribosomal RNA", at positions 29 to 507 of the family's 1533-position model. The record is from RNAcentral.
AUUGAACGCUGGCGGAAUGCUUUACACAUGCAAGUCGAACGGCAGCACGGGGGCAACCCUGGUGGCGAGUGGCGAACGGGUGAGUAAUACAUCGGAACGUGCCCAGUCGUGGGGGAUAACGUAGCGAAAGCUACGCUAAUACCGCAUACGAUCUACGGAUGAAAGCGGGGGAUCGCAAGACCUCGCGCGAUUGGAGCGGCCGAUGGCAGAUUAGGUAGUUGGUGGGGUAAAGGCCUACCAAGGCGACGAUCAGUAGCGGGUCUGAGAGGAUGAUCCGCCACACUGGGACUGAGACACGGCCCAGACUCCUACGGGAGGCAGCAGUGGGGAAUAUUGGACAAUGGGCGCAAGCCUGAUCCAGCCAUGCCGCGUGAGUGAUGACGGCCCUAGGGUUGUAAAGCUCUUUCGCCAGGGACGAUAAUGACGGUACCUGGAUAAGAAGCCCCGGCUAACUUCGUG